AUUGGAGUUUGGUGGAAAUGUUGGGGAGUCGCGUGCAGUUGGGACGCGGGCAUGGGGAGGAUCGCGUUUGCUACGCCGAUAAGGCCCGGUGGAGCCGCCACAGCCACCAACGGCACUACCAGCAGAGUCCAUGGAGGUCUUCAAGCACCUCCGCCGCCGGAACUUACCCCGCCCCUUCCUUUGCUUCUGGGAGCUCCGCAGAGGCUGUUGUGUCGGUCUCCGGCACCCGUGAGCAAGAGAACCGAGCAGGAACAGAGAAAGAUACUCCGAAGACCGGGAUCGCGUCCGUUUCAUCUUGGGGUCCUUCUGUUGCUCAUUCUUGUAACUUGAAACGAUUCUUGGAGUCCAUAACUCCGUCCGUCCCGGCGUUGUACCCUUCCAAGGUUUAGAAAUUUUCCUCCUUUCGGUUGUUGUCGCUUUGGGAUUCUUGGAGAUUGACUGACUUUGAUUGGCUUGCAGAUGGAGAAGAGGGGAUGGAGGGCUUCUGACCAGGAGUGCCGGCCGUACUUUGCGCUGGCGGAUCUCUGGGUCUCGUUCACGGAGUGGAGCGCGUAUGGUGCUGGCGUUCCGCUGGUUCUGAGCGGAGCGGGCAGCGUGAUCCAGUACUACGUGCCUUACUUGUCUGGAAUCCAGUUAUAUGGUGAAUCGAACAGGCCCUUUUCUGAUUCUAGGUAUUAGUGUUUGCCGGAUGCUUUCUUUCUAAUAUAUCUCGGUCCACAGAAUUUGACAUGAACGACUAAUUUGUUUCUUUGUAUAUUUUCUUACUACAGCUUUUGUUUGCCACCCUAAAGUUCUGAAUGUUCCUUGAUGCAUUGCUUCCUUGAUACGUCUACGAUGGCUAUCGUGUCGUAAUGUUCUUAGCUUAUAAAAACUCCUUUUACUUUUCUCGGUGGUAUAUUUUGCCUUGUUUGUAUCAUCUGUCAUAAAAGCGUAGGAUUUGUUGAACAUAAAUGGUUUCAAUAAGAACCAAUUGUCAGUUUAUCUUUGCUUACCUCUAUCUCAAUGGUUCCGAAUAAUAAUUUCUUUGGAUCGGUUUAGCAUCAAACCUGAUGAGGGCAAUUAUGGCGAUUGGACUCGGGUGACAUCAACACCCCCGGAUGACGCCCCCCCGCCUCAGUCGACUUGACAGCACCUGGCUAAAACAGACCGGAACGCCAGCAGAGGCACAUUAACUUCUUGCACAAGCUCGAUACCUCACGCCACGCCUACACCGGUGUCAGACGCUACCAGGAGUACGAUCCUGCUCCCCUCGAGCAGGCACCUCAGACAGGUAACAUUCGUUAUAAGAACCCUCUCGUCGAGGAGAAAAGGGAGAGGAAAAUUCCUCCACUACCAUUGACUGACAUGAUCGUCGGAGGGGUCGGGCCGAGACCCCUGACCCGACCUGUCUGCAGGUGCGAAGACGGAGCAACCCCGCUAGACGGCCAUCCCGGGAAAGACAAUCGUCCCGUCGCCGACCGCGCGUAACAGAUCCAUCCAACUCGACGGACUCCCAGGCCUCGCCGGAAGAUCCCCUCGCAUUCCGACCCGAACCAAGCCGUGCCGACCCUGAGGCCCGGCUUAAAGUUGUUGACACCAACAUUUUGGCGCUAGAAGGAGGGUCGAAUGUCGAGUGAGCGGCAGGUCGACUUGGAUGAAUCGACGGCUGAAGGGUCGUACCCGAGAGAGGCUCCAGGGGAACACCCCUCGUAGGGUGAACCUAGAGAUGAACACCCCGCCGCAACCUCCGAACGUUACUGGCGGUUAUUCAACGACCCGGGCUUAUCACCACCCGAGGGUCCCCUGGCCGACCCGUCGCCCGUAUCGUCGGAGGCUUUUCAGGAUCUCGCUCUUCAAGUUCGAGCGCAGACGGGUAUGGUGCAAACCCUCAUCUUACUCGUCGCUCGUCCGGAGCGCACGCUUGCGAUCCAACCACUGCGGCAACAGGACCCGCUAGCCCAGGCUCACGCGCCGCCUCCCGAGGUACCAACCUCCCCUCGGGUCGGGCCGACCCCGCCCGGGGAUUGAAUGACAACACUCCCGAGGGGCCGCCCGGAACCCGAGGUAUUAUCCUCGGACUCGACAGACUCCCUGCGAGCCCAAGUGUGUUUCGUCAGUCGGCGGCUCGACGAAGUUCAGCAGGAGGUUCGCAGGUCAAAAGGGGAGCUCGGCGAGGAGGCGCACCGGGGGUCCCCGUUUGUACCCGAGAUACAGGAUCAAACGAUCCCCCCGAACUUCCGGCUCCCCUCUCUUGAUGCGUACGACGGCUCCACCGACCCGGCGGACAACGUAGCGACUUUCCGCGCCCAAAUGGCACUAUAUGGGACCUCUGAUGCCUUGAUGUGCAGGGCGUUUCCCACAACUUUGCGAGGGUCCGCUCGCGUGUGGUACAGCGGCCUUAAGACUGGGACGAUCACCUCCUUUGAUCAACUCGUCAGAGAUUUUGAGUCCAACUUCCUAGCUUACGCCUGGCCGAAGCCCUCCGUCGCUCUGCUCCUCGGGCUCAACCAGAGGGAGGACGAGCCCCUCUCGCACUUUGUGAAUCGUUUUGCUACGCAAAUCUGGGGGUUGCCGGACGCUCACCCCUCUCUAUUGAUACAGGUGUUUAUGGUAGGCUUGCGACCCUCCAGGUUUUUCUGGUCACUAGUAGAACGACCCCCCGCUGCGGUCCCGGAGAUGCUCCAGCGGGCGAGCCAGUUCAUGGCGGCAAAGACCUGGAUGGUCGGGAAGCGGGACUAGCACAAGAGGGUCAGAUCAGAGCCGUCCCGCGGACAACAGUCCGCCGCACCAAGGCGCAGAUUGGACCGUCCUGACCUAUCGUCAUUGAUGUCUCAAUUCCCUCUUUGGGUGCGUCCCGGACGGAUAUAUUUCUUCAGAUUAGAGACAAAGGGUUACUCAGGACUCCCAACCCGAUGAAAAAUCCGUGGGAACUAGCGGAUCGGUCGAAGUAUUGUCGUUUUCAUCGGCAAACCAGGCACGACACUGAGGAGUGUCGGGAGUUGAAGCGGCAGAUCGAGGAGCUCAUCCGCAAAGGGCAUCUCGGUCGACACCCCCAGCAAGACAAGGAGCUCUCCCCCCGCCCUGAAGGACCCGUCGAGCGUCAGAUCGAUGUGAUCAUUGGGAACCCUACCAAGAUCAAAGACGGUGAUGCCCACCUUCCUGGUAGUCGACCUCCCCACUGCAUAUAACGCCAUCCUUGGUCGACCAACCCUCAACAAGGUCAGGGCCGUCAUCUUCACUUAUCACCAAACGGUCAAAUUCCCGAUCCGCGCCGGAGCUGGGGAAGUCAGGGGAAGCCCCCGGGAGUUCAGGCAGUGCUACCUGACGGCGGUCUCGCUUCACAAACGAGCGCGGACCGAGCAACCCCCGGGGGACCCUAGGGAAAUGAAGAAGCCAGCCCCACACCCUGAACCAACGACGCCUACUUGUGACGUGCCACAGAUGAAGGGCCGGCCGGAUCGGACGAUCCGGAUUGGGUCGGAACUCCCCGAACAGGAACGGGAACAGCUCGUCGGCUUCCUACAGGGAAACGCCGACGUCUACGCCUGGUCGCCCUCCGACAUGACGGGCGUCGACCCGAAGACCGCUCAACACUACCUGAACAUAGCGCCCGAUAGACAACUGGCUAUCCGAGAAGAGGUGGAGUGACUUUUGGCAGCAGAGUUCGUGGAAGAAGUCAAGUACCCUCAAUGGCUGUCCAAUGUAGUCCUCGUAAAGAAAUCUAAUGGGAGCUGGAGGAUGUGUGUUGACUACACCAGUCUUAAUCGCGCGUACCCGAAGGACUGUUACCCCCUCACAAGGAUCGACCAAUUAGUCGACGCGACCGUCGGGCAUGCGCGCCUUUCGUUCAUGGACGCCUUCUCUGACUACAACCAAAUCAGAAUGGCACCCGACGACCAGGAGCACACGGCCUUCCUCACUGAUCGGGGAGCGUAUUUCUACAAGGUCAUGUCAUUUGGGCCAAAGAACGCAGGAGCUACAUAUCAGAGGGUCGUAAACAAGAUGUUCGCCCGGCAGAUCAGGCGAAACGUUGAAGUCUACGUCGACGAUAUGAUCGUGAAGAGCCGCGCGACGGUAAACUACCUGACGGAUUUGGCUGAAACAUUCACUGCCUUACGGAGACACGGCCUGCGGCUCAACCCUGUGAAGUGUGCCUUUGGCGUCGGCUCAGGAAAAUUCCUCGGAUUCCUCAUCCACGAGAGGGGAAUCGACGCUAACCCGGAAAAGGUUCAGGCGAUCAUCAGCAUACAAACCCCCCGGACAAUAAAGGAUAUACAACGGCUCAACGGGAGGCUUGCUGCCCUAUCUCGGUUCCUGUCUCGGUCUGGUGAUCGUUGCCUACCCUUCUUCCGGGCCUUGAAAAACCCGAGGAGCUUUCAAUGGACGGAGGAAUGCGAGAAGGCCUUCAUACAUGUAAAGCAGCACCCCGCCAGCCUCCCUCGCCUCCCCUCAGUUUCUCCCGGGGAGAAGCUUAGUGUCUAUCUGGCCGCCUCCCGGAACGCAGUUAGCUCCGUCCUGAUUAAAGACGCCACCGGUGGGCAACUACCGGUCUACUACGUCAGCCAUGUCCUGAACGGACUGUUAGAACCCUUGCAGAUUCUAAACUUGGGAUUGAUCUCUUUAGGGGAUCGGCCUUCUUGGAACUCUAUAGGAGUUCCUCCCUCCAAGUUGCUGCUCAAAGGCUGCAGAAAAGAUUCAUCUAUUGCUUAUGAAAAAAGGAGGAAUACAUGGCUAUUUAUAGGGUUUCUAAACCCUAACUCCUAAUAGGACUCCUACUAAAGACUCUUAUUCUUUUACAACUCCUAAUUCUUCUCUAAGAAACAACCUCCUAACUUUAGCCGGCCUCUUCACCUCUUUAAUAGGGGUCGGCUUAGGUAGGUUUUACAUGAAUGUCCCUCUCAAUUAGGACUCUCCUAGCUAGAGUCCUAACAAACCCACCCUCUUCAAAUCAGCCUUGUCCUCGAGGCUGACGAUUCAUGAAUUCUGGAAAUUUGAUCUUCAAGUCGUCAUAGUUCUCCUAAGUGGCAUCUUCUGUUGGUAGGUUCGCCCACUGUAUUUGCACUUCAGUAGUGGGUCGUCGUCAUUGAGUCACAAUCCGUCGAUCAAUAAUGGCACUUGGCUGGGUUUGGAGUUCUCCUUGAGUAGUCAUAUUUGGUGGGUGGCUUUGGGCUGUCUCCAAUCACCUAUUUACAACUUCCGUCUGACCAUCGGUUUGUGGGUGAUAUGUCGUACUCCUUUGCAAUUUAGUACCCUUCAUAUGGAAUAACUUUGUCCAAAAUCCGCUCAUGAAGAUGCAAGUAGAAUUUGUCACAAGCACAAUGCGUCCUUUAUAGCGUAAUUCUUUUGAGUCUCAAUUGUAAUGAGCCAUGAAACUUGGUGCUUCCUCCAAUUUUUUCUUUAUCUUAUUGGUCUUCGAAUCUUCCUACCAUUCCAUCUUAAUAUCUUCAAGGAAGUCGUUGGUCAAAAGUGAAACGGCCGAAAUUUCAGCUUGCUCGGAUAGCUACGAAGGCGUAUCUGCAAUAAUAUUCUCUUUCCCCUUUUUGUAAGUUAUUUCAUAAUCAAAUUCAAGAAGUUUUAUUACCCAUUUUUCCUGCUUAGGGGAUGAUAUCUUUUGCUCCAAAAAGUACUUGAGGCUUUUAUGAUCGGUUUUAAUUUGAAAUCGUCGACCGAUCAAGUAGGGUCUCCACCUCGUUGCUGCGUGCACAAUGGCGAGCAUCUCCUUAUCAUAUGUUGAUAUAUUUUGAUGGGAGGGAGACAAUGCCUUGCUAGUGUAUGUGAGUGGUCGACUAUCUUGCAUGAGAAUGGCUCCAAUUCCGACUCCAGAUGCGUCGGCCUCAAUAAUGAAGGGUCGGCUGAAAUAUGGUAGUGCUAGCACCGGCAUCGUCGUCAUGGCUGGCUUAAGUUUGUCGAAGGCGGCGGAGGCUUUGUGGUUGUAGCAUGUUAAACCCAGAAAGCCAUGUAGCAAUUUUAUGUUCCUCGGGGUCGGCCAGUUUUGCAUUGCUUCUAUUUUGGAGGGGUCCAUCAUCACACCUUCCUCUGAUAUGAUAUACCCAAGAUAUUCCACCUUUUGUUGAAGAAAGCAAAAAUUCGUAGUGGUCGUUGUGUAUUCGAAAGGCGGUUUUCGGUAUGCCUUUUUCGCACACUCGUAUUUGAUGAUACCCGGAUCGAAGGUCCAGCUUUGUGAAGAUUUGUGCUCCCUUUCAUCUAGCAAUUCAUCUACUACUAGUAUAGGAUAUUUGUCCUUGACGGUUAUGCCAUUGAGAGCUCGGUAAUCAAAACACAAUCGCCAUGUUCCGUCCUUUCGUACGAGGAGCACCGGUGAAGAGUAGGGGCUGCAACUUGGCUGAAUAACUCCUGUUUCGAGUAUCUCUUUUACAAUCCUUUCUAUUUCAUCCUUCCACAGAUAUGAAUGCUGAUAUGGCUGAGUAUUUGCAGGAGGCUUGCCCAGAAGAAUCGGUAUACAAUGAUCAUGCCGACGAGUAGGAGGUAGGUUGCACUGUUCGUCAAAUAUAUCUGAAAAUUCAGCAAGCAAAGGAAGUAGGUUUGGACUUUUAAAUUCUGUUAGCUUUCCCUUAGUUUGCUGCUCGAGUUGUACCACAAAGCCGCUGCAUGCCUUAUGCAAAACCUUCUCCAUUUGUCGUGUGCAAAUCGUCGUUACAUUGCCCCCAUGUUUCCCGUGCAGUAUCACUUGUUUUCCCUUACUGUAAAAUUUCAUAAUUAGUUUCAUAAAAUUCCAGGAAACAUCACCUAAUGUCAUCAACCAUUUAAUUCUGAGCAUGGCCUUAUUAUCGUCAAGAGGGAGGAGGAAGAAAUCUGCAAUUAUCUCGUGGUCCUGCAGCAACAGUUUCACCUGCGGGCACCUACGAUCACACUUCAAAAUCCACCCGUCGGCAACCUUAAUGUCAAACCUGUUGCAAUUCUCAAUAGGUAAGGCCAUCCGGACAACAACCUUACUAUUUAGGAAGUUAUUAGUACUGCCUGUGUCGAUGAGAACAGUGAUCGAUUGUUGUUUGAGAAGGCCUCCAACUUUCAUCGUUUGCGGGUUUGAGUAGCCGGCUAGCGCGUGUACUGUAACGUCGGUCAGUUGUGGCUCUUCUUCCGCAUCUUCUUCUUUAUGUUCAAUGCUCUCUUCUGAAUAUUCAAUGACGUCUUCUUCUACUGGCUCAAUCGUAAGAAGUCUCCCUUUUCUACAGCGAUGCUCGUGGCUCCACGGCUCGUCGCAGUGCCAACGUAAUCCCUUCACAUAUCGCUCUCGAAGCUCUUCUCUUGUCAACCUUUUUGGUGCAGGGACUCGGUCGAUAGUAGGGGGGGCUGAGGGCUUCAAUAUUCUUGGUCGAUGAGCAACCCUAGUCCUCCGGGCUUCAUGGUUCAAUCGCUCCUCUUGAAAUCGUGCGAAAGAGAUGGCUGCCAUAAGCGUGUAUGGUUGUCGCGCUUUAACUUCUCCCCGAAUCUCUGGCUUUAAGCCCUCCAUGAGUGUGUUCAAACCAGUCAAACCAUUGUAUGACAUCUCCUUCAAGAUGUAUAACUGCAAUUUUCACCAUAGAUGCGUCCGCGAUUUUUUGGUACCGAAAAUAUCGCUCUGCGCGCUAGAUCCAACCAAUCAAGUCUCUUUCUUCCCAUCUAGGAAAGUCCACCCUCAUGUGUGGAUAGUUGGGGUUGGUUAUAGAGCAUCCCCUCUCUUGGAAGUCAUCUCUUCGGGCUUGGUACGAUUGGGCAAAGCUCUCUCCUUGAUGUGAUUUCUUCGGGCUUAGUGGUCAGCCCAAUCUGAGUUCGGUAAAGAGCAUCCGAAUCUUAUCCUCCAUUCGUGCCUCCAAGGCUUCGAAUUUAGCAUUCAUUGCCUCCUUAGAUACCAUAGUAUAUGCCUCCAAAUCUGUGAUGUUAAGAUCUUUUUUUUGUUGUUGGGUUAAAGGCUUGUAUAGGUUGAGAGAAGUGAUGAUCGAAAGGGUUGGUGGAUUGGUAGAUGUAGGCUGCUGUUUAGGCUUGUUUUGUUGCUAUUUUGGGUGCAGUUUGAGGGUGUGGUUUAGUAGAGUUUUAGGGCUAUAGAUGAAAGUUUUGGAUCUAUGGUAGAUGACAGCAAAGGUUCGAUAGAAAUCAGUGGAAGUUGCUGCAAAUAUGUGUUGUCUUAUAAGAGCAGAAUUGUUGUCGAAGAAACAAUGGUUUCUCGAUGAAAUUUUCGCCAAAAACUUAAGAGCUUUGAGGAGGGAAUUGAUAGAAAUAUCUCAGUUUAUAUGACAGCAAGGAUGUCCAAUUUAAUCAAGAAAAUUUCGACAGUAAUAGCAAGAAAAUUGGUGCAAGUUGUGAUAGAAGAAUUCUCGUCGAAAAAUUUUAGCGACUUACGACAAAAAUUUGUAGCAACACAAAAUCAUUUUUAGAGAUAAAUUCCUCAAUAGAUCAAUCUUAGAUGGAAGCCAAGAUGAUCUAUAAAGCGUAUAAGAAAUUUCAUUCAAAAAAGAUUGCAAAUUGAUAGGUUAAGGCAACAAUAUGCGGCUGAAAGUUUUUGCAGCACAGAUUUUCGAGUGUAGCAGAUUGGAUGUAAAAGAUCAGUAGUUUAUAUUAAGAAUUUUUCGACAAAACUAAAGGGAAAUCCACUGUUAGGAAGUGUCAAAGCUAUCAUAAAAAUUUCGUAGAGAUUUAGACAGAAACAAUGUAGUAUCAAGAUCAAACAAACAGUGCUAUGCGGCUGAAAUUUUACAGUGCAGAUUUUCAAGUACUGUAGAUUAGACGUAAAAGAUCAAUGGUUUAUAUUAAGAAUUUUUUGAUAAAUCUAAAGGAAAAUCUUCUGUUAGGAAGUGUCAAAGAUGUCAUAAAAAUUUCGCAGAAAUUUGGAUAGAAAAAACACAGUAGCGAGAUCAAACAGACGGUGCUAUGCGGUUGGAAUUCUGCAAUGUAUCUUUUGUCGUAGAGAUGAAAACUUUACGAUAAAAAGAUUAUGCAGCAAUAUAGGAACAAAUUUUUUUUUGGAUUUUCGAAUAAGGAUAAUUAAAUUACAGCAGCAGUAAGGUAGGAAACCAGAACCUGUUGCAAUUCACGGGGAGAUCAAAAGAUGAUCUGCAGUGGUGGAGAUGACGAUGGAAUUUGGCGACGAUCUUUUAAGCAAUUGUAGGAAUUGCUUUGGGCGGCUGUGGAGGGUUGAUGGAUGGUUGUGGAAGGGCAGCGAGAUGCCAAGAACGCUGCUCUGAUACCAGGUGUUAGAACCCUUGCAGAUUCUAUAGGGGUUCCUUCCUCCAAGUUGCUGCUCAAAGGCUGCAGAAAAUAUUCAUCUAUUGCUUAUGAAAAAAGGAGGAAUACAUGGCUAUUUAUAGGGUUUCUAAACCCUAACUCCUAAUAGGACUCCUACUUCUAACCAANNNNNNNNNNNNNNNNNNNNNNNNNNNNNNNNNNNNNNNNNNNNNNNNNNNNNNNNNNNNNNNNNNNNNNNNNNNNNNNNNNNNNNNNNNNNNNNNNNNNNNNNNNNNNNNNNNNNNNNNNNNNNNNNNNNNNNNNNNNNNNNNNNNNNNNNNNNNNNNNNNNNNNNNNNNNNNNNNNNNNNNNNNNNNNNNNNNNNNNNNNNNNNNNNNNNNNNNNNNNNNNNNNNNNNNNNNNNNNNNNNNNNNNNNNNNNNNNNNNNNNNNNNNNNNNNNNNNNNNNNNNNNNNNNNNNNNNNNNNNNNNNNNNNNNNNNNNNNNNNNNNNNNNNNNNNNNNNNNNNNNNNNNNNNNNNNNNNNNNNNNNNNNNNNNNNNNNNNNNNNNNNNNNNNNNNNNNNNNNNNNNNNNNNNNNNNNNNNNNNNNNNNNNNNNNNNNNNNNNNNNNNNNNNNNNNNNNNNNNNNNNNNNNNNNNNNNNNNNNNNNNNNNNNNNNNNNNNNNNNNNNNNNNNNNNNNNNNNNNNNNNNNNNNNNNNNNNNNNNNNNNNNNNNNNNNNNNNNNNNNNNNNNNNNNNNNNNNNNNNNNNNNNNNNNNNNNNNNNNNNNNNNNNNNNNNNNNNNNNNNNNNNNNNNNNNNNNNNNNNNNNNNNNNNNNNNNNNNNNNNNNNNNNNNNNNNNNNNNNNNNNNNNNNNNNNNNNNNNNNNNNNNNNNNNNNNNNNNNNNNNNNNNNNNNNNNNNNNNNNNNNNNNNNNNNNNNNNNNNNNNNNNNNNNNNNNNNNNNNNNNNNNNNNNNNNNNNNNNNNNNNNNNNNNNNNNNNNNNNNNNNNNNNNNNNNNNNNNNNNNNNNNNNNNNNNNNNNNNNNNNNNNNNNNNNNNNNNNNNNNNNNNNNNNNNNNNNNNNNNNNNNNNNNNNNNNNNNNNNNNNNNNNNNNNNNNNNNNNNNNNNNNNNNNNNNNNNNNNNNNNNNNNNNNNNNNNNNNNNNNNNNNNNNNNNNNNNNNNNNNNNNNNNNNNNNNNNNNNNNNNNNNNNNNNNNNNNNNNNNNNNNNNNNNNNNNNNNNNNNNNNNNNNNNNNNNNNNNNNNNNNNNNNNNNNNNNNNNNNNNNNNNNNNNNNNNNNNNNNNNNNNNNNNNNNNNNNNNNNNNNNNNNNNNNNNNNNNNNNNNNNNNNNNNNNNNNNNNNNNNNNNNNNNNNNNNNNNNNNNNNNNNNNNNNNNNNNNNNNNNNNNNNNNNNNNNNNNNNNNNNNNNNNNNNNNNNNNNNNNNNNNNNNNNNNNNNNNNNNNNNNNNNNNNNNNNNNNNNNNNNNNNNNNNNNNNNNNNNNNNNNNNNNNNNNNNNNNNNNNNNNNNNNNNNNNNNNNNNNNNNNNNNNNNNNNNNNNNNNNNNNNNNNNNNNNNNNNNNNNNNNNNNNNNUGUCCCUCUCAAUUAGGACUCUCCUAGCUAGAGUCCUAACACGGACCUGAGGAGCGGUACCCGCCAAUUGAGAAACUUGUUCUGGCGCUCGUGCUGACAGCUCGAAAGCUGCGCCCCUACUUUCAAGCCCAUCCUAUCGAGGUAAUCACCGAUCGGUCGCUCCGCCAGGUUUUAUCUAAAUUCGACGUUGCAAGUCGGCUCCUCAAAUGGUCGGUGGAACUUGGCGAGUUCGACAUACAAUUCGUCCCGAGGACCGCCAUCAAAGCCUAAUUCGUAGCCGAUUUCAUAUCGGAACUGGCUCAAAUUGAGGAAGAGGGUCCUGAGCAGCUCGGGGAGUCAUGGGCUCUGCACGUGGACGGAUCGGCUACCUCGAGAGGUGCGGGGCUGGUGCUAUUAGCUCCCGACGGUCGCUCGUUCGAACACUCACUCCACUUCGGGUUCCCGACUACCAACAACGAGGCCGAAUAUGAGGUGCUACUGGCCGGACUCAGGCUGGCCCUCGAGAUGCAUGUGAAGUCCAUUCACGUCCUCACCGAUUCGCAACUGGUGGCCGAGCAACUCGGCGGCGGAUACGAGGCCAGAGAACCUACCAUGGCAAAGUACCUUGCAGAGGUAAAAAGCCUAGCCUCUCACUUCUCUCGCUUUUUGAUAUCCAGGGUGCCGAGGACCCAAAACCAACGAGCUGAUGAGCUGGCCAAACUGGCCUCAAGGUCUGAACUCGAGGUCCAGCCCAAGAUCGAGUUGCUCCCUUCCCGAGCCAUCUCGACCUUGGCAGUGGCUCCGAUUGACGGGCAAACUACGUGGGUACAGGAGAUGUUACGCUUCAAGCGGGACGGGAUCCUCCCCACUAACGAGGCCACGGCUCGUCGCAUGCGCCGUGUGCAAUCUUGGUACUCCGAGGUGAAUGGAUGGCUCUAUAAGAGGUCCUUCUCAUACCCCCUCCUACGGUGCCUCGAACCCGAGGAGGCUCGGUCGGUUCUGGUCGAGGUCCACGAAGGAAUUUGCGGGGAACACAUCGAUGGGCGAACCUUGGCGUACAAAAUCCUCCGCCAGGGGUACUAUUGGCCCACCAUAUCCAGAGACGCGAGACAUUACAUGCUACGGUGUGUCUCGUGCCAAAGGCAUGCCCGCACGCCCCGGCAGCUUGCGGUUCCACUCGCCCCUAUUGACAGUGCGUGGCCAUUCGCGCAAUGGGGGUUGGACCUACUCGGGCCUUUUCCCCCAGCCUCGGGACAGCGACGAUACAUUGUCGUGGGGGUGGACUACUUCACGAAGUGGGUUGAGGCCGAGCCGUUAGCAACGAUCACGGAACACCAAGUGGAAAAAAUUGUGUGGAAAAAUAUCAUAACUCGGUUUGGCCUGCCAAAGACCAUCAUCACCGACAACGGCACCCAGUUCGCCAGCGCGCGAUUCCAGGAGUUCUGUGCGAACUACAAGAUACGAUUGAGGUACAGCUCGGUAGCACACCCCCAGACGAAUGGCCUAGUAGAGGUGACCAACCGUUUCAUCCUAAGCGGGCUGAGAAGAAGGGUGUCUAGGGCCCGAGCGGCUUGGGCGGACGAGCUCCUAAGCAUUUUGUGGUCCUUGUGGACCACCCCCAAAACCGCGACCGGAGAAUCUCCCUACAGCCUCGCGUUCGGAACCGAGGCCGUCCUGCCACCGGAGGUGGUCUUCCCCACGAUUCGAACCGAGAACUAUGACGAGGGGACGUCAUAUCAAGGAUUACUCGCCGGUCUUGACUUCCUCGAGGAACGGCACGCGGAUGUGCAUUUGAAAGACCUCUCCUACAAGAGAGCCGUCGCCAGGAUCUACAACCGCAGGGUACGACCCCGACCGAUCAAAUUAGGUGAUCUAGUCCUACGCAAGGUCGAGGUCAGCGAGCCGACCCGAGCGCGCAGUAAGCUCGCUCCCAAUUGGGAGGGACCCUAUCGGGUUAGCAGCGUCGUCAGGGACGGCACGUAUCGGCUCGCAACCAUGCAAGGUUGCGUUCUGCCGAGAACGUGGAACGUGCAAAACCUUAGGAAGUUUUAUGUAUAGUUGGAGACAAAACGGUCAAAACAGAAACCUGAAACAAAAACCUUUUAUUCCGAAUAAAAGCCAGGUUACAGGGUCGGGCAAAAUACAAGCGUCAACCGACGCCAGACCAAUCCCCUAAGAGACCGUUAUAGCCUUAUAUCCUAUCCUUUGGGGGCUUCAGAGCUGUCGUCGAAGGGGACUUCAUCUGGCAUGUCGACGCUUGCGUCUUCGGGGCAGGAGGCAAAGGGGUUUUCUUCGACCUCCGAACCGGGGUGGCGCGCCUUGAAGCGGGCCAGGGCGACCCGGUACCCGCAUUCGUACGUGAUCUGCCCCGACCGGACCAAGCCGAGCUGAAAGCCCGAGGACUCUUUAUAGUCCUCGAUCAGCUUCUUGUCCCUCUCCGGACGCUGCUGCAUCUCGGCAGCCAGAGCUUCAGAAGCCCUCUUCGCCUCGGCACGCGCCUCCUCCAACUUCUGAGUGAGGGCAACCGCCUCUUUAUUGGCCAAACGAACCUCGGUCCGUGCCGUCCUCAGGAACGCUUGGAGAUCAUUAUUCCUCUCCUCCGCCACUUUUACCUCGGAUUUCAGGCGGGUCCCCUCGGCCUCCAAAUCCGAGGCACGCUGCUCGGCAGCCUGUACCUCGGACUUGAGUCGCGUGACCUCCGCCUCCAGAUCCGAGGCACGCUGCUCGGCUGUCGCGACCGCCUCCGAGGCCGCCUCCGCGUGCACCUCCUCUAUUUGCCUUCGCAGCUUGACGUUACGGUCGAUCAAAACACCGAGUGCCCGACCUGCGUCACGCACGCGAUCCAUCAACGCUGGUGCAUAAUGCUGACGCUGCAAAGAAGUAGAGUCAGGACAACUGUGGCCCAGGUACAAAAAGGAACCCAAUAACAAGGUACUUACCCACAGCAGGGACUUUGCAGACUUGCUCAGCAAAACAUCCGAGGGCAGGACAUACAGUUCCCGAGCCAUAUCGGGAUGGAGCCCCCCUCGGACAAAUAAGGCCGCAGCCUCCCCGUCAGCCCAUACCCGGUCCCCGCGGGUCAGGCCCGUCCAUCGGGCCGCCAACGGGUCGGAGGGUUGGCCCUCCGGAAGUUCGCCCAUGGCCCGAGCUAGGUAAGGUUCGCCCGGUGCUCCCGAAGGGAGGCGACACAAAUCGCGGAUGGACGACUCCUGAGGCGCCUUCCCUGUCGCCUCCCUACUCGGGCCGGCCUCGCCCUGAACGAGGUCCCGUCGCCGGUCGCACCCGACGUGCUUGGUCGCUCCAUCCUCCGGCUGCGCCGACGGCAUGCUCGGUUUUCUUUUGAUACCGGUCUUCGCCUUCUUUUGAGGUCGACCGACCUCAAGUUGAACCGGCGCCUCCCUCGAGCCAACCCUCGGCUCGGCCAAUCGACACGGCCGACGAGGAAGGCCCCCCACGCACGGCGACGAGGUUCACCAUUUCUGCAUGAAAACACCGACCUCGAUCAGAAUACCAAGAACGCGAUUUCUGGAAAGCCCUAACACUACCCACUACUGGCAUACCUCGAGGCAUCGGGCUAAGACCCGCCUCGACCAACCACGCCUCGGUCAUCCUUCGAAUGACUUGGGAGGUCGGGAGUAUCUCCUUUAGACGGCGAAGGUCCCUCCGCUCUUCGUCGUUCAGGGUCGGGGCAGUGUUGUCGAUCGCGCGCGCGGCCCACCGGAGCCCGAAGCUCUAUCCCUCUGGACGAUAGACAUAAAAGAAGUGCUCCUUCCAUCCCUUGUUGCUGGAAGGAGCCCCGCUAACCCAAAAGCCUGGCCGAGCGGACAAAUAGUAGCCCCCCGACCCCUUGGAAAGAUGAAAACAGGAGAGGAAAAGAGAUCGGGUUGGGGUAAUAUGAGCGUAAUGGCACUCCCCCAGGAACGCCACCAAAUAUCGCUAGGAAUUAGGCGCUAUCUGCGACGGAGAAAGACGCCACCACGAGAUGCAGUAACUUAUAACAGGGUGCAGGGGGAGGCGUAAACUCGCCUCAAGGGCGUCUAUGGUUAGGGCAAAACCCUUCGGGAUAGGGUCGUGUGCUCCUCGGCUGCAUGUUGCCCAAGACCGCAAUCUCUGCGCGGCUUGCCCGCCUGAGUUGUGCUCCUCGGUUGCAUGUUGCCCGAGACCGCAACCUCUGCGCGGCUUGCCCGCCUGAGCUGGGCUCCUCGGCUGCAUGUUGCCCGAGACCACGACCUCUGCGCAGCUUGCCCGCCUGAGUUGUGCUCCUCGGCUGCAUGCUGCCCGAGACCGCAACCUCUACGCGGCCUGCCCGCCUGAGUCACCCCCCUCGGUCGCACGCUGUCCGAGACCACCGUGGCGUCGGCCCAGUCCUCAAGUAUCGAACUCCGUGGUCUCCGCGCCCCCAAUGAACGACCGGCAACCGCCCGGUGGGGAUAAUCUCUUAAAACUGAAGCCAUGCCUCGGACCCCCCUCUACGACCGACGCAUAGCUCCUUCGGGGGGGAAUAUGACGAGGGCAAUUAUGGCGAUUGGACUCGGGUGACAUCAGCACCCCCGGAUGACGCCCCACGCCUCAGCCGACUUGACAGCACCUAGCUAAAACAGACUGGAACGUCGGCCGAGGCACAUUAACUUCCUGCACAAGCUCGAUACCUUACGCCACGUCUACACCGAUGUCAUACGCUACCAGGAGUACGAUCCUGCUCCUCUCGAGCAGGCACCUCAGACAGGUAACCUUCCUUAUAAGAACCCUCUCGUUGAGGAGAAAAGGGAGAGGAAAAUUCCUCCACUACCAUUGACUGACUUGAUCGUCGGAGGGGUCGAGCCGAGACCCCUGACCCGACCUGUCUGCAGGUGCGAAGACGGAGCAACCCCGCUAGACGGCCAUCCCAGGAAAGACAACCGUCCCGCCGUCGACCUCGCGUAACGGAUCCAUCCAACUCGACGGACUCCCGGGCCUCGCAGGAAGAUCCCCUCGCAUUCCGACCCGAACCGAGCCGUGCCGACCCCGAGGCCCGGCUUAAAGUUGUUGACACCAACAAAACCCUAUAUUGUCUUACAUUCCUAAAGUAAUUUCAAUAAUGAGUGAUACCAUUUCAGCAAAUGCAACCUCAAAAGCAACUCAAAAUUGGUUAUUUUUAGUAUUUUCCUAAUAAAAAUUAUUGGUUUUGUUUACUGUUCGACAUGUAGCAUCGUAAUAAUAACUAGGUCACUGUGCAUUUAUUUGGUCUGUUUAAAUUGCUUUUUUUCCUAAAAUGCAGAAGACACUUUUCUGGUAUUAUCUUUUAACUACUUAAGCUCUAAAAUUCUAUUUGGAGAGCUUGGGAAAAUGUUUAGAUUGGGGAGCCAGCCUUGCGGGGAGUCAAGUGUGUGUGCCAUGAAAAUGAAAAGCAGUGUAUUUGAAGCAGAUCAGUCUCUUGAUGCUCAUAGCAGGGCCUUGUUGAAUAUGAUCUACAGGACUCAGCAUGGACUGUGUUUUAUGUGAUUUACAUUCUUUUUUUAUGAAUCAAAUUUAGCUUUUUUACUUGUGAUUUGAUCCAUUUAUUUUGAGAACUAUGUGGGAUAGAUUGCAUAUAUGUUUUGUGGAUUAAUUUUUACUUUGUAUUCGGUGUCUUGACCAUGAGGGUGGGCCUUGGUACAACGGUAAGAUUGCUCCUUUGUGAUCUGGGAGAUCAGGAUUUAAGUCAUGAAAAUAAUCUCUUUAAAUAUUUAAACGAAAGAUUGCAUAUAUUGAUCCUCUCUAGAUCCCGCAUUGGCGAGAGCUUCAUGUACAUGCUCUCAGAACUAUAAAAAAUUUCUUGCAGUUAAGGGUGGAAAGAGUUAAAUGAAAAUGAUGUGGCAUUUUCUGCAUCAGUCAAAUAAUCUAACUUGAGGUAUAAAUUGAAACCUUUGUUGGUGGAGAAAAAUUNNNNNNNNNNNNNNNNNNNNUGGAUAAAUUAUGUUUGAGAGAGAAACAUGGGCAUCAGCAAAAGGGAUCAUCAAGUGGUGAUGGAGAUUUUGGACAUUUUCGAGGUCACUUGCUCUUUGAGUUUCUUGAACAGGAUCCACCAUUCAUUCGUGAACCUUUAUCUGAUAAGGUGUUUACAUCUUGUUUACACAAGUAAAACAAAUUCGAUUUUCUGGUCUUGUUUGUGAUGUUUAUUUAAGUAUGUUCCUUCAGAUUUCAGAUCUUGCACGGUGUUUCCCUGCAUUGAAGUCCCUUCGAAGUUGUGAUCUUUUGCCAUCCAGUUGGAUAUCAGUUGCAUGGUGAGAUUCAGAUCGACUGAAAAAGUAUUUGAAAAAUAAAUAUUGAUUUUGUGUAGCUUGCUUGUGUUUAAGGUAUCCUAUAUAUCGAAUUCCUAAUGGCCCUACAUUGAAGGAUCUGGAUGCUUGCUUUUUGACCUUUCAUUCUCUUUCCACACUGAUGAAAGGUAACUAUCAUCUUUUGCACUGUCUUUUAUUCCUCUCCUUACUAGAUGAACAUGUACAAAACAUUAUGCUUGAAAUAAAUAUGGUCUAAUCAAAAUUAUGUUUGUUCUGGCUUGACGAUUUUGUCCUAAAUUGAUGUGGAAUGCUGCUACUUGGCAUUGUUGUUUUGACUUUUAAAUGUUGCAAGACAAAUUAUUAAGCAUACUGAAAAAUUAUUAAGCGUAAAUUUUGGUCGACUUCACCUCUUUGCACAAUUUAUCAAUUGAACAAGCUUAAUUCGGAGAUUAGCUAAUCAUCUACCUAUAAUAAAUGGCUAGCUAGUGAUAAUUUGCAUCUUAGUGAAGCCUCAUUCAGUCUAUGCUCAAGCUUAAUUCAAGGUUAAAUGUUGAACUUGUUUCAGGGUUGUCGGACUUGGGCUCAAGCAUACGUAGAACACGUUAAGAUUUGUAAUUCCAAAAGCACUUUUGUACAUUCUCACCAUGCACAAACCAAUAUUUACGUGCAAAUGACACCACAAAAGUCACUCGAAGUACUUGGCAAAAACUACUGCUGAACGAGAGCUUCCAAGGCAACAGUUGCACCCAAAUCAGAGAGGCCAAAAGCUGCAGCAAACGACGUCCUUCUCUUUGCCCCUCUUCUUGCUCGCUGCUCCGCCUGUGAUCUCAACGGACCUUACCUCGGGCUUCUUCAUCUGCCGCUUGGGCACUAUCAAGGUGAGCACCCCGUUCUCGAUGGAGGCCUUCAUCUCAUCGGCCUUCGCAUCCUCCGGCAGCCGGAACCGCCUGUAGAACCUGCCGCGGCUCCUCUCCGAGCAGUGCCACUCGCACUUCUCCUUGUCAUCGAUCGGAUCCCCGCUUCGCUCGCCGCUUAUGGAGAGGACCCUGCCGUUCUCCACCUCCACCUUCACGUCCCCCUUUCUGACCCCCGGGAGGUCGGCCUUGAAGACAUGCGCCUCCGGGGUCUCCUUCCAGUCCAUGUGGAUGUCGUCUGCGCCGGAGUCAUCCGAGGGAAAGCCACGGAGUGCAUCGAAGAUGUUGCUGUGACGACCCAACAACAUGUUGUGGACGAGAGACAUAUUAGAUGCUGCUGCUGCGUCUGCUUCUUGAAGCUGAGAUAUGUAGCAAACUCCGGUGUCCAAAGUGAGGGUGGGAGUGUAUUUAUCGUUGGCGAUAGAUCAGUCCUUCAUCUGGAAGUGUCUCAUUGGUUGCUUCCAGCGUGGUAUUAUAUCUAUUCCACUAAUAAACGAGACAUUGGUGCUCCGGGCGUUUCGAGAAGCCUCUACGCCUUUCUUGUCAUGUCCACGUAGUUUGGGUGGGACCAGAUAGACCAAGUAAGAUAAUUCUUUGGAUGAAAUCUUGAUCGUCGAAAGAAUUAUUUAUUAAUAUUAUUAUGAUUUGAUUGAAAUCAAUCAAUUCCAAACCAAUUAUUUUAAUUUUAAAUCAAUUAAAUAUAAUAAAAAAAAUAACACAUAAAACAUUGUACCUUAGGAGGUUAAAUCUUUAUGUCUAAAAUCAAUUAACUUGGAUUUGAAUCUUCAAAUAACCAUUUAAUUUGAUUAAAUUUUCAUUGCACUCGUCAUAAUUAUAUGCCUAUUCUUUAAAAUUAUAAUUUUUAUAUUUAUAAUUAAAUUUAAUUAAAAAUAAAUAAAAAAAACAAUUCUAAUCAAAAUCGAAACCGUUCGAACCGAUCCUAAUUUUUUAUAAUUUUAUUUUUAAUCAAUUUUUUUAAAUCAUUACACUCAUCAUAUAUUUUUUAAAAUUUUAAAAUAAAAGUAUUCAUUUUUUUCUAUUUUAAAUCAUUUUUAAUAAUAAAAAAUAAAAAAAAAAUUAACGACUCUGAUCGGAACCAAAACCUUCCGAACCAAUCGAAUCGACGGUUUGGUUCCUAACAAUACGAAUCCGAAUCAAAAAUUAUUCUGAUGUCAAAAUCGAUCGUUCUGGAUCCAUCCACGAUCACGAUUAGGUACAAGGCCAGAUGCAUGCACCGGUGAAGACUUACCGCUGGAUUCAGUAUCGAUUCUGUGGGCAAGACGGGAUAAGAAAAAUUAUUAUUCUGGGUACCUAACGAUUGAUGAUGACACAUCAGGCGGCUUAAAACAAAAUAAAGAAUAGAACAGAGGUGAAAUAUACUGGAAGACUUGAGCACCUUCCAGAAUCCGCCUGCCGACCUUGACCAACGACUUAUUGCCUCGGCAUCGACGCUAUAAAAUACUCAUCGUCCUUAACUCACCAAGAACAAGGAAAAGAAAUCCACAGCUUAGCAACGCAUCCUACGCUACCACCAGAAAUCCUUCAAAGGCAUUUGCAACCAUGCCGAUCGUGAGGCGCAGCAACAUCUUUGAUCCCAUCUCUGUCGACGUUUUCAACACCUUCCCCGGCUUCGCGAGCGAAACCUCCGCCUUCGCCAACACCCGCAUCGACCGGAAGGAGACGCUCGAUGCCCACAUCUUCAAGGCCGACCUCGCCGGGGUGAACAAGGAGGAGGUGGAGAAACGCAGGGUCCUUCAGAUCAGCAGCGUGCGGAACGAGGAGCAGAAGGAGAAGAACGACAAAAGGCACAGCGUGGAGAGGAGGUUCCGGCAGUCGGAGAACGAGCAGGUUCUGGCUCGGCGUACGGUGCGAUGUCAUUCCGGGUUUACCGAGUCCGGUCGUGCCGUACAGAGACUUGAGAUUCGUUUCUCGUGUAAUGUGACGUAUAGCAGUAGCCGUGACGUGACGUGUUCUGAGGGCACAGUUGAGAAGCCCGACGGCAAGUCCCUAAGGAGGAAGGAGGAAGUUAAGGAGCCCGACGGCAAGUCCCUAAGGAGGAAGGAGGAAGUUAAGGAGCCCGACGGCAAGUCCCUAAGGAGGAAGGAGGAAGUUAAGGAGCCCGACGGCAAGUCCCUAAGGAGGAAGGAGGAAGUUAAGGAGCCCGACGGCAAGUCCCUAAGGAGGAAGGAGGAAGUUAAGGAGCCCGACGGCAAGUCCCUAAGGAGGAAGGAGGAAGUUAAGGAGCCCGACGGCAAGUCCCUAAGGAGGAAGGAGGAAGGAGGAAGUUAAGGAGCCCGANNNNNNNNNNNNNNNNNNNNNNNNNNNNNNNNNNNNNNNNNNNNNNNNNNNNNNNNNNNNNNNNNNNNNNNNNNNNNNNNNNNNNNNNNNNNNNNNNNNNNNNNNNNNNNNNNNNNNNNNNNNNNNNNNNNNNNNNNNNNNNNNNNNNNNNNNNNNNNNNNNNNNNNNNNNNNNNNNNNNNNNNNNNNNNNNNNNNNNNNNNNNNNNNNNNNNNNNNNNNNNNNNNNNNNNNNNNNNNNNNNNNNNNNNNNNNNNNNNNNNNNNNNNNNNNNNNNNNNNNNNNNNNNNNNNNNNNNNNNNNNNNNNNNNNNNNNNNNNNNNNNNNNNNNNNNNNNNNNNNNNNNNNNNNNNNNNNNNNNNNNNNNNNNNNNNNNNNNNNNNNNNNNNNNNNNNNNNNNNNNNNNNNNNNNNNNNNNNNNNNNNNNNNNNNNNNNNNNNNNNNNNNNNNNNNNNNNNNNNNNNNNNNNNNNNNNNNNNNNNNNNNGGAAGGAGGAAGGAGGAAGUUAAGAAGCCCGACGUGAAGUCCAUCGAGAUCUGAGCUCUGAUGCAUGCCGGAGAAACCCAUAGCUGAGCUUGCGACCUAUCCAAAUAAGUCUCUGUGGCAGUCGAGUGAGUGUGUCCGUCCUAUGUCUAAGUGUGCUAUUUGGUUCGUGUCUUUCUGUGUCCAAGUAGUCGGUCGACUUUGGGAACUCUGCAUUGCUCUCGCGGUAAUAACGUUUGUCAUGGAAGUAUUUCUUAAUUAAAUACGAGUCGGUCUAGUUCAUCCGUUUCAUAUGUUUCAACUUCGGGAACUCUGCCUUGCUCUCGCAGUGAUGACGUUAGUAAUGGAAGUAUUCCUUAAAUAUUAGUCGUUUCAUAUGUUUCGACAUGAAGAGAAGUAGUAACCAAAAUGAACAGAUAAGAAUGACCAACUGGCUAACAAAAACAACAUCAUCAUCAUCAUUCUGCAUACUUAUCUUCUUCCAUUGUGCGUAAGACGUGACGCACCGCACAAUCCACGAGAACGUGACCCCGCAAGCUUAUCUUCUUCCAUUGUGGGUAAGACGAGACGCACCGCCCGUUUUCCUCUGUCCGUUUAUCAUAUAUUCAAAGGGCCGUUGCGACGUGCGAGACCCUCUCUCUUGACCCUCUGUUUCCGCGAUCAUCGGCGAAACUUCGCAACCCUCUCUUGACCCUCUCUUUCCGUAUUCAAAGGGCCGUUGCGAAGUGCGGGACCCUCUCUCUUGACCCUCUCUUUCCGCGAUCAUCGGCGAAACUUCGCAACCCUCUCUUAACCCUCUCUUUCCGCGAUCAUCGGCGAAUUUUUCUCGAUCUACUGCUUGCUGCUUGUUAGAUUAUAUAAUCUUAUUUAAUUAUUAGAUCUACUGUUUAUUGUUUGUUAGAUUAUGUAAUUUUAUUUAAUUAAAUAAGAUGUAUUAUAUAUAUAAUUGAAUUUUAUAUAAUUGGAUUAUGAUUAUGAUUAUGAUUAUUGAUUAAUAGAAAAGAAGUUCAAUUAAAAUAGGAUUUUUUAAGAAAUAAUUUUACAGAUUAUCUGGUUCUCUUUGCAAAUCCUUACAUAUUGAUAUUUCAGAUCCGAUGACAGAUCAGACGAUGGAGCGUUUGUAGAUCAGAUAAAAUUUAUUCUUUUGAACAACAAGAAAGAUAUACAUCGUAAUAUAUAUAUUAGAUCUAAUAAGAUUUAAUUAUAGUUUUGACAUAAAAAAAUUUUCGUAUUACAGAUAGCAUGAUUAUAGAUUUUAUACUUACAAUUGGUAUUAGAGCCAAAUUCUUAAGAUCAAAUAUAUUAGAUCUAUUAUUUUUAUUUAUGUUUGAAUGAUUCGUCGGAUAUAUUUGAUCGAUGAAUUUACUGUUUAUUAUCAUUGAUGUUAUUAAGACGAUCAUCCCUGUUGAUCGUUGUCGAAGGGUCGAGUACCGUCGCGCAUCACGGUCGUACGUAGGCAACAGUCCGCUUGCUAGCUGUGCCGGCACCACGGGAAUCCCGCACCGCUUGUGAACGCGAUGCCUGCGGAAGGGCAGUGGCCGCAGAUGGUGGCAGCCGCUGCCCUCGUGGACAGAGGGCAACGGCAGUGGUCGCGCCGAGGCGGUGGUCAAGCGCGGGCAAGAACCGUCGCAGCGGCCGCUCAUGGGCAGAGGCAGCCCCCGCGACGGCAACGGUCGCACGCUGGCAACAAUCGCGGCCAGUCGUGCGCACCAUCCACAGGCAGGAACGGCCGCGGGCGAGCAGCGGAUGCGUCGCACGCGCAAGCGACGGCGACAAGGCAAAUUAGGGUUUUUGGCAUAAUUAUGAUUUUGACCUCGAGGCUAGAUUUUUACAAAAUUAUAAUUCUGCCCUUUGCAAAUUUAGUAAUUUCAAUUUAUGUUCUGCCAACAUAUUUACAGUUUUACCUUCGGAUUUAAUUUCUAUCAAAUUAUAGUUCUGCUCUUCAUAAAUCGUAUAUUUUUUAUUUAUAUCCUAUCAAAUAUUUAUAGUUUUAUCAUUAUGAAAUUGAGAAAUUUGGUUUAUAUUCUCAAUUAUAAAAUUGAUAAAUAUGAUUUAUUAUAAUUAUGAUUAAAUUUAAUCAUGAUUAUAUUUUUGAUUAUUUGAUUAGAUUUAAUUUUGAUUAAAAAAAUUAUAAAUUAUGAUUUACUUUAUAGUUUUCUCAUAUGAAUUAUUGAUUAUACAUGUGGUAAAUAAAAUCCAAUUAUUAUUCUUGAAUAUUUAUUUAAUUAUUCACACGUAUACAUUUGAAAUUGUGAAAUAAUGUUCAUCAAGGCAAGCAUGAUUUAUAUAUUAUCAUGAUUAUCAUAUGAGUUUUCUUUUAUUUAUUAAUGUUCAAUAAUUAGUAUGGUUAUUAUUUUAUUAUUGAACUGCUUAGUAUUAAUGUUCAAUAAUUAUUAUGGUUAUUAUUCUAUUAUUGAACUAUUUAGUAUUAAUGUUCAAUAAUUAUUAUGGUUAUUAUUCUAUUAUUGAACUACUUAGCAUUAAUAUUCAAUAAUUAUUAUGGUUAUUAUUUUAUUAUUGAACUACUUAGCAUUAAUGUUCAAUAAUUAUUAUGGUUAUUAUUAUUUUAUUAUUGAACUGCUUAGCAUUAAUGUUCAAUAAUUAUUAUGGUUGUUAUUUUAUUAUUGAACUACUUUGCAUAAAUUAAAGAAAUUUGAUGAAUAUUAUUUGUAAUUCAUCUUCAUAAGUUUUAUCUGACUUGUAGCUGCUAAAGUGGCCUAGGAUGAUAGAUUUUUAUAAUAUGAAUUAUAAUAAAAGUUUUAUCAUUUAUAGGACAUUUUAGAUUGUAUUUUAUAUUUUUGUAUUGGUUCUAUAGUCACCAAAGUGACUUGGGUCAAUAAUUUAUAAAAUAUAUUAUAAAAUUAGUCCUAAAUGAUAUUAAAUAAAAUAAUAUUCGUAAUGGCAGCAUGAAUCAGGAUAAAGAAAUUUAGUGAAUAUUAUUUAUAAUUUAUCUUCCUAAGUUUUAUCUGACCUGGGAUGAUAGGCUUAUGAGAUAUGAAUUACAAAAAAGUUCAUGUCAUUCAUUAGAUAUUUUAGAUUGUAUUUUAUCUUUUUGUAUUGGUCUUGUAGCCACCAAAGUGACCUGGACCAAUAAUCUAUAAAAUACAUUAUGGAAUUCAUCCUAAAUGAUAUUAAAUAAAAUAAUAUUCACGAUCGCACAUAUAAUUAGGAGAUUUAGAUAAUCCUAAAGGAGAAUCUAUUUCAAAUAAUUAUGUAAUUGGGUAGAAUGAUACUGUUUUGGAUAUUCUUACAAUUUAGGGUUGUAUACCCAAAUGUAACAAUAUCAUUCCACAAUGAUAGUAUCUGAUAGGGGUAAGAACAGAUUUGACGUAACACACUGGAUUUGACGUAAUACACCACGACGUCAGCCACCCCUGGACGGCACACUGCCCUAGGGGGCGAGCCUUAACACCAACAUAAUGUGCUCCCUCACUCACCGUACCCAAACGACCUCAUCAUCUGACCUCGCCCGACCGGCCGAGGCAAGGGAAGGCGUCGACUGAGGCUCACCAUACCCUGCGGCAGCUCGACCUUCCACGCAACGCCCACGACGACGACAGGCGCCAGGAGGUACGGCCCUGCCCCGGUAGGGUGGCACAUCAGGUAAUAUCGAACUCGCCUAUAAAUACUCCCGGGCUCCAAACGAACAGAGGAGGAAGAGAGACAACACAAAAACACCCUCAAACCCCCUUACAACCUUCUACUGACUUGAUCGUCGGAGGGGUCGGGCCGAACCGCCGACCCGACCUGUGUGCAGGCAGUCGACUGAAGUCGAUCCAACCCGGCGUUGCAGAACUUUCCAGCCAGACCCCCGCAUUCAGCCACCCUAAGAUCCCGAGAAGAGUCAUGCCUGAUCCCAGCCAUUCGGACCCCUGAACCAGCCGCGUUGAUCCCGAGGUCACGGCUAAAAACGUUACUUACCAUAACAGAUUGGUUCUAGAAGGAGGGCCCGUCCGAAUGUCAAGCGAUCAGCGAAUCCACCUUGGCGAGCCCUCAGCCGUCGGGCUCCCCACCCCGAAGGAACACCCCCCGCAUGAUGAAACCCGUGACGAACGCCCCGCAGCGGCGUCAGAACGUUACUGACGAUUAUUCAAUGACCCAGGCUUGUCACCUCCCGACGACGCACCCGCCGGCCCAUCGCCGGUGUCACCCGAGGCCUUUCACGACCUCGCUCAUCAAGUCCGAGCCCUGACGAGCAUGGUGCAGACUAUCAUCCUGAUCGUCUCCCAGCGGACCGCUCCGCAUACGACUCGGCCUUCGCAGCAACAGGAGACCCUCGUCCGGACUCACGUACCACUUCCCGAGCUCCCUGGCUCGCCUCGAAACCCGAUAACUCGGCCCGGGAGCCGGGAGGCAGAAGACACGGCGAGCCGCCCCGAGCGCGAGGCUCCGUCUGCAGACUCUACAAAUGCCCUACGAGCUCAGUUGCGCCUCGUCAGUCAAAGACUCGACGAAGUACAGUAGGAAGUUCGUAAGUCAAAAGGAGAGCUCGGGGUAGACGGACAGCAAGGAUCCCCAUUCACCCCCGAGCUCCAAAAUCAGGCGAUCCCGUCACACUUCCGCCUCCCUUCGCUGGAUGCGUAUGACGGCGCUACUAACCCAGCGGACCACGUGGCCGCUUUUCGCGCCCAGAUGGCGCUAUACGGGACUUCCAACGCCCUGAUGUGCAGGACGUUCCCAACAACCUUACGAGGGCUAGCCCGCUCGUGGUACAGCAGCCUGAAGGCCGGGACCGUCGCCUCCUUCGACCAACUCGCCAAAGAUUUCGAGCUCAACUUCUUAGCUUACGUUCGACCAAAGCCGUCCGUGGCAUUGCUCCUCGGACUGAACCAAAGGGAGGACGAGCCCCUCUCCCAUUUUGUGAACCGCUUUACGACGCAACUUCGCGGGCUAUCGGAGGCUCACCCCUCUCUGUUGAUGCAGGCAUUCAUGACAGGCCUGCGACCUUCCAGGUUCUUCUGGUCUCUCGUGGAGCGGCCUCCCGCCGCGAUCCCCGAAAUGCUUCAGCGUGCCAGCCAGUUCAUCGCCGCGGAGACAUGGAUGGUUGGGAAGCGGGAAGAGCACAAAAAGGUCAAGUCGGAGCCGCCCCGACAGCAACAGAUCCGACCCAAGGCCUCCCCUCCCCGCCUUGAAUUCGUCCCGAACGGAAAUAUUUCUCCAUGAGAAGGGGAAGGGGCUACUCAAGGACCCUCACUCGAUGAGAAACCCGCGAGAGCUCGCGGACCGUUCAAAAUAUUUCCGCUUCCAUCGGCAACAUGGACACGACAUGGAACAGUGCCGUGAGCUGAAAAGGCAAAUUGAGGAGCUCAUCCGCAGAGGGCAUCUCAGCCAGUACCUUCUGCCGGACAAAGAGCGAUCACCUCGCCCAGAGGGCCCCAUCGAGCGACACAUUGACGUAAUCGCUGGCGGUCCCGCAUCUGGGGGGGGGCUCCAUGUCGGGAAGAAAGGCGUACGCCCGGGCCGCUCCGGACGUAAUCCCGGGACACGAGCCCAACCCCGAGAUCACUUUUCCGACCGGGGUAUCCGAGCGACCCGAACACGACGACGCCCUUGUGAUAUUGGCUAGGGUAGCCAACACACAGGUGAGAAGAAUCAUGGUCGACACUAGGAGCUUAGCCGAUAUACUUUACUUCGAUGCCUUCCGGAAGCUCGGCUUGGCCAGGGAGAAUAUGAGGCUGAUGUGCUCAGCGCUCACCGGAUUCACAGGAGAUUCGAUAUCACCCCUGGGGGCUAUUACUCUGCCCUUGACCCUAGGGACCCCACCGAGGUCGAAGACGGUGAUGACCACUUUUCUGGUGGUCGACCUUCCCACUGCUUACUGUUGGGAAAUCUUUGGGGGCGACAUCACAUGCGCAGCGGAAGAACAAGAAAACAAAAUCUCCGAUUCCCAAAAAGAUGUUCAUCGUCGUGCGAAGAUUGGUGCGCAAAAUCCGCGAAACUCAAAACUGCGUAUAGAGUAGAUUGUGUUACCUAGGGAGAUCGUAUAUCCCUGUUUCCUUGCAGAUCCUUAGGAGAGGGUGAAGGAGGUCAAGCGUCCUCCUCUCUAGNNNNNNNNNNNNNNNNNNNNGGCAUUCCGUAAGCGGAUCAAUCAGUGAACUCAUUCUCCAAUGAGCACCUGUACUGUAUCCCUAGUGUCCCUACACGAGCAGCUAUGAGACCAGCUGCAUCCAUCAAAUGGACGGGUAUACAGCACACAAGUCUGUCCGGUUAUCACGAUGUCCCUCUCGAGUAACCUAUGACCGAGAUUAUUUAGGAUAUGUGUUUAAAGGUGAAUCGAUCUCAUUAUCGUGAUCUCAUCACGAUCCGAUUCCCAUUGCACAAAUCCAAGGACAUCACAAUAUAUAUAUGCACAUAUGCAAUAGUUAUAAAGUGAUAUACGCCAAAAUAUAAUAAGCAAAAAAGAUUCUAUAUCAAGUCACACGUGCCAUCACUCAUGUGAUUGGCUUGUUGGGCACCUAUGACUAACACUUACAACGCCAUACUCGGUCGGCCGACCCUCAACAAGGUCAGAACCGUCGUCUCGACCUACUACCAAAACAUCAAGUUCCCGACUCACGCUGGGGUCGGAUAAGUUACGGGAAGCCCCCGAGAGUCCAGGCGGUGCUACAUGACCACCGUUUCAUUACACAAGAGGGCCAGGAUCGAGCCACCACUGGAAGAUCCGCGGGAAACAAAAAAACUGGCCCCUCAUCCCGAGCCAAGGGGAUCCACCGUUGAUAUGCCACUACAAGAAGCUCGGCCUGACCGGACGAUCAAAGUUGGUUCGGAACUACCCGAACAGGAACGAGAGCAGCUCGUCGGUCUUCUGCGGGAAAAUGCCGACAUCUUCGCCUGGUCCCCAUCUGACAUGAUGGGCGUCGAUCCAGGGGUCGCACAGCACCACCUCAACAUCCCACCUGACGCUCGCCCGGUGAAGCAAAAACCCAGGCGGCAGGCCCCUGACCGGCAACAUGCCAUACAAGAAGAGGUGGGCCGGCUUUUAGCGGCAGGCUUCAUAGAAGAAGCCAUAUAUCCUCAAUGGCUAUCCAAUGUAGUUCUCGUGAAAAAACACAAUGGAAGCUGGAGGAUGUGCGUUGAUUACACCAGUCUCAACAAUGCGUGCCCGAAAGACUGCUACCCCCUCCCGAAUAUCGACCAGCUGGUCGAUGCAACAGCCGGACACGCACGCCUCUCUUUUAAUGGACGCCUAUUCGGGAUAAAACCAUAUCAGGAUGGCGCCCGAAGAUAGAGAGCAUACGGACUUUCUCACCGAUCAAGGGGUGUACUUCUAUAAGGUCAUGUCGUUCGGGUUGAAGAACGCCGGGGCCACAUAUUAGAGAACGGUGAAUAAGAUGUUCGCCCAUCAGAUCGGGAGGAACAUGGAAGUUUACGUGGACGACAUGAUUGUGAAAAGCCAAGAGGCCGGAGCGCACAUUACCGACCUGACCGAAGCGUUCGCCACGCUACGCAAGUUCGGUAUGCGACUUAACCCCACAAAAUGCGCCUUCGGCGUCACCUCCGGAAAAUUCCUCGGGUUCAUUAUACACGAAAGAGGAAUUGACGCCAACCCGGAGAAGGUUCAGGCAAUCAUCGAAAUGCAGUCACCCCAGACGAUCAAAGACCUGCAGCGACUUAACGGAAGGCUUGUCGCCAUGUCCUGGUUCCUCGCCCGAUCGGGCGAUCGCUGCCUCCCCUUCUUCAGGGCGCUCAAAAACCCGAAAAACUUUCAGUGGACGACAAAGUGCGAGGAAGCUUUCAAAAAAAUAAAGCAGCACCUGACCAGCCUCCCCCGACUCGCCUCUGUUUCUCCCGGGGAAAAGCUAGGCCUCUACCUAGCGGCCUCCCCACAUGCAGUCAGUUCCGUCUUGAUCAAAGAAAGCUCCGGCGAACAACUUCCGAUCUACUACGUCAGCCAUGUCCUGAACGGACCCAAGGAGCGCUACCCGCCAAUAGAGAAACUUGCGCUCGCCCUGGUGUUGUCAGCUCGGAAGUUGCACCCCUACUUCCAGGCCAACCCGGUGGAGGUCAUCACCGACCAACCUCUUCGGCAGGUCUUAUCUAAAUUUGAUGUUGCAGGGCGGCUCCUCAAAUGGGUGGUGGAGCUCGGCGAACAUGAGAUAAGAUACGUGCCCAGGACCGCUAUCAAGGCCCAGGCGGUAGCCGACUUCAUCGUGGAGUUAACGCAGAUGCAAGACGGGGAACUCGAGCAACCUCCCGAAGCCUGGAUUCUUCACAUGGAUGGCUCGGCCAACUCGAAGGGUGCCGGCGCAGGGCUGGUUCUGCUCGCCCCCGACGGACGCUCGUUUGAGCGCUCCCUCUGCUUCGGGUUUAAAGCCACUAACAACGAAGCGGAAUACGAGGCGCUCCUAGCAGGACUAAGGUUGGCCCUCGAGAUGCAGGUGCCUACUAUACGCGUCCUCACCGACUCUCAGCUUGUGUCCGAGUAGCUCAGCGUUGGAUACGAGGCUCGGGAACCAACCAUGGCGAAAUACCUGACACGGGUAAGGGACAUGACUGCCAAGUUCCUUUAUUUUACGUUGUCUAAUGUUCCGAGGGAGGAGAACGAGCGAGCCGAUGUGCUAGCUAAGCUGGCGUCGAAGCCGACCCACGAAGCAUGGCCGGAGGUCGAGGAGCUUCCUGCCCGCGCCAUUGAAGUAGCGGCUACGGCCCCCAGCAGUGCGCCAAUCAGAUGGGUACAAGAGCUGCUACGCUUCAAGCGGGAUGGGACCCUUCCCCACGACGAAGUCGCGGCCCGACGCCUGCGUCGUACACACGCGUGGUACACUGAGGAGAGUGGGCGUCUUUAUAGGCGAUCCGUCACCUACCCCCUCCUACGAUGCUUGGAGCCCGACGAGGCCCAGACGGUCCUGGCCGAGAUCCACGAGGGAGUCUGCGGAGAACACAUCGGCGGGCGAACCUUGGCACACAAAAUAAUCCGCCAAGGUUAUUACUGGCCGACCAUGUGCCGGGACGCGAAAGCUUACGCGUAGCUGUGCGGUUCGUGCCAAGAACACGCCCGCGCACCCCGACAGCCCGCGAUCCCGCUCAGCCCCAUCGCGUGCGCGUAGCUGUUCGCACAGUGGGGGUUGGACCUCCUCGGACCUUUCCCACUGGCUUCGGGGCAGCGGAAGUACAUCAUCGUGGGAGUGGAUUAUUUAAAAUGGAGAAGUUCGUGUGGAGAAACCUAGUGACUCGGUUCGGGUUGCCCAAAACCAUUAUUACGGAUAACGGACCUCAGUUCGCCGGUAGGAGGUUCCGGGAGUUCUGUGCCAAUCAUGGCAUCCAGCUAAAGUUUAGCUCGGUGGCCCACCCUCAAACGAAUGGGCUGGUAGAGGUAACCAAUCGGUCCAUCUUGGACGGACUCAAAAGAAGGGUGUCCGCAGCCCGAUUGGCCUGGACCGACGAACUCCCUAGCGUCCUAUGGUCACUGCGCACCACUCCCAAGACCGUGACUAGAGAGUUCCCGUACAGUCUGACGUUCGGAACCGAAGCUGUUUUGCCACCCGAGGUGGCUAUUCCCACCCUUCGGACGAGGAGCUAUGACGAGGAAGUCUCGAACGAGGGACUUCGGGCCAGCCUCGAUGUGCUCGAGGAGCGACGCGCCGACGCACACCUGAAUGCCCUCUCUUACAAGAGAGCCGUCGCAAGGGUAUACAACAGAAAGGUACAACCCCGACCGAUUAAGUUAGGCGACCUGGUCCUGCGAAAGACCGAGGUCAGCGACCCGACCCGAGCCAAGGGGAAGCUAGCCCCCAAAUGGGAAGGAUCUUAUCGGGUCGUCGAGGUAAUCCGACCGGGCACAUACCGACUCGCGAGAUUGGACGGUUCUUCCCUGCCAAGAACUUGGAACGUUAAGAACCUUAAGAAAUUCUUUGUUUAAAGCAAAGGAAGUCGUACAGCCAUAACGAAUUUGUUUAGGGAGUUUGCCGACUAGAGAAGUAAGGAGCCAAAUGCGUGGAAAAAUGCCUUUUUCAUUCAUUUCAAAAAACAAGCUUACAGGACCUGACCCCCACUUACAAAAUCAGGCGGAACGCCUUAGAAAACAAAAAUACAAAACCCCUUUUUCACGAGGCGUCCAGUCAGUCGUCAAAAGGGACCUCCUCGGGCAUGUCUACCCUUUGAUCCUCGGGGUAAGGAGUGAAGGGAUCCUCCUCUACCUCGAGGCCGGGGUGACGAACGCGGAAACGGGACGUGACAAUCCGGUAUCCAUACUCAAAGGAUACCCGCCCCGUCCGCGUUAGCCCAAGCUUGAACCCCUCGGACUUCUUAUACGCCUCGAGGAGCUCCUUGUCCUUGACGGGUCGAAGGCGGGCCUCCUCCGCCAAUGCUUCCGAAGUCGCUCUCGCUUCGGCCUUCGCCCCCUCCAGCUUCUUGUUGAGGGCGCUUGCCUCCGACUUCAACAGGCGGAGCUCGGCCCGCUCCAACCUUAUUGUUUUUUGGAGCUCCUCGUUUGCUUUUUUCGAGGCCUCGAGCUCCGACCCGAGGCGAGUCGCCUCCGCCUCAGACUCCGCCGCACGCCUCUCGGCGGUUGCCACAGCCUCCGGACCAACCCGGCACGGACCUCCUCGACCUGGCGGUGGAGCUCGGCAUUACGGUUGAUAAGGCCCCCGAUGAUCCGGUCGGCGUCACGCACCCUGUCCAUCAGGGCCGUCGCAUAAUGAAGGAUCUGCGGAAGGGAAGGAUAGGUUAAAAAGGGGUGGCGUCAGACGAACAAACCUAACUAAAGCAAGAGCGGAAGUACUUACCCAGAUCAAAAAUUGGGCGGACUUAUUAAGCAACGCGUUCGAGGGCAGGACGUAUAAAUCUCGAGCCAUGUCGGGAUGAAGCGCGCCACGAAGGAACGUUGCGGAGGUGUCUCCUCCGGCCCACACCCUGUCCCCUCGGGACAAACCGCCCCAGCGGGCGACCAGGGGGUCGUUGGGCCUCCCGGGUGGAACCUCCCCUACCAGCCGCAUUAGGAACGACUCCCCGUCCCCGGCUCGUAGUCAGCACAAGUCACGUACGGAGGUCGACCGCGGAUCCUUCCCAGCCGCACGCCGGCUAGGCCCAGCCUUGCCCGGACGGGGGCCCUCCUCAGCCCCCUUUGAAGGCGCCGCCUUCGCCUUCUUCCGAGGGCGCCCGGCCUCGACCUCCAGUGGGGCAUCCUUCGUGCCGGGCUGCGAGUCGGUCGGCGACGCUGGAGGAGGGGCUUGCGGCGUGUCGUUCCCGAGGAGUGACCGGAGGUUCACCAUUUCUGCAAAAGAUGAGAAAAGCGUCAGCACCAAGGAUAAACGACGCAAAUACCCGAACCCAACGUCGACUAGCGUACCCAGAGGCAUCGGGCUGAGACCCGCCUCGAUCAGCUACUCCUCGGUCAUGUUCCGGAGGGCCUGGGACCUGGGGAGAAUCUCCCUGAGCCUCCCCAGGUCGAGGCGCUCCGCUUCGCCCAAACACGGGGUGGUGUUGGCGAUCGCCCUCGCGGACCAACGAACUCCGAAACCCCAGUCCUGUGCGCGGCUGACGUAAAAAAAACCUCCCCUUCCAUCCUUUAUUAUUAGUAGGGGCCCCUCCGACUCGGAAGCCCUUCCGAGCAGAUAAAAAGUAACCCCCCGAACCCUUGGAGAGGCGAUAACAGGAAAGAAAAAGGUUGAGGGUGGGGGCGAUAUUGGCGUAGUGGUAUUCCCCCAAGAAUACCACCAAGUAACGCCAAGAGUUCGACGCCACUUGAGAUGGCGAAAUCCGCCAGAAAGACAAGCAGGACACGAUGAGGGGGUGAAGGGGGAAGCGCAAACCCGCCUCCAGGGCGUCUAGGGUUAAGGCAAAACCCUUCAGGACCGGGUCGUACGCCUGUCGUCCCAGUUCAAGCGCGCCAAGAACAUAGUCCCCCGGGAUUCCGUAACGCUCCCGAAGUCCCACCAGUGAUGACUCACUCAUAGAGGAGUCCUGGUCAUGUGGCCACAUCAAGACCUCAAGGGCCCGCGCCGCCUCCCCAUCAGAUGAUUCAACGAGGGGUGGAGGAGGAUUUCCCUCCCUAACUCCGGGGGAAUGUAUAGAAGAGGAGGAGGGAGAGGAUGCCAUCCUCACUGACCUUAACUAGGGGUGCUACGGGAAAGGAGAGUGACGCUGGAGGCGAGGAGGACGACCGGAAGAAAGACGGCAAGAACGGAAGGGGGAGACACAGCAGCGAAAGAUAGAGGUAAAAUCGGGCGUCCGCUAUUUAAAUGAGAUAUCCCGCCAGAACCGGUGCCCCUUCGCCUCCCGAGGGUGGGCGGCAGCCCACCUGCGCGCGUGCGUAACCGUCACACCGCAUCGAAAAACACCCAAAGGCGCUCUGCCUUAAUGAAAGCCUGACGUGGCAACCCCGCCGAAGCGGCAGCAUCCGGACGCCUCGAUCUCGAUGCCUGAAGACGUGCGGCGGAAGCAACCAACUCCUCCUCAGGAAAGAAAUUAAAUGCGGUAGCUUUUUGAUCCUCGCGGCCACCAAAUUUGAAGGGAGCGUCACCACACCCGCGCGGCCAGCCCGCCUGCGUCGUGCUCCUCGGCUGCAUGUUCCCCGAGACACACCUGCGCGGUCUGCCCGCCUGCGUCGUGCUCCUCGGCUGCAUGUUCCCCGAGACCACGCCUGCGCGGACUGCCCGCCUGCAUUGUGCUCCUCGGCUGCAUGUUCCCCGAGACACACCUGCGCGGUCUGCCCGCCUGCGUCAUGCUCCUCGGAUGCAUGUUCCCCGAGACCACGCCUGCGCGGUCUGCCCGCCUGCGUCGUGCUCCUCGCUGCAUGUUCCCUGAGACACACCUACGCGGUCUGCCUGCUUGCGUCGUGCUCCUCGGUUGCAUGUUCCCCGAGACCACGCCUGCGCGGACUGCCCGCCUGCGUCGUGCUCCUCGGCUCCAUGCCUCCCGGGAUACACCUGCGCGGCCAGCCCGCCUGCGUCGUGCUCCUCGGCUCCAUGACCCCCGAGUCCAACUCCGCUCGGCCGGCCCACCUGCGUCGUACCCCUCGGAUCCGCGUGGCCAGCCCACCAGAAGCCAGAAGCCAUGCAUCAGACCCCCUACAUGCAAAAACCGACGCAUAGCUCCUUUCGGGGGGGGUGGGGUAUAUGAUAGGGAUAAAAAUAGAUUUGACGUAACACACCGGAUUUGACGUAAUACACCACGACGUCAGCCACCCCUGGACGGCACACUGCCCCAGGGGGCGAGCCUUAACACCAACAUAAUGUGCUCCCUUACUCACCGUACCUAGACGACCUCAUCAUCUGACCCCGCCCGACCGGCCGAGGCAAGGGAAGGCGUCGACUGAGGCUCACCAUACCCUGCGGCAGCUCGACCUUCCACACAACGCCCACGACGACGACAGGCGCCAGGAGGUACGGCCCUGCCUCGGCAGGGUGGCACAUCAGGUAACAUCGAACUCACCUAUAAAUACUCACGGGCUCCAAACGAGCAGAGGAGGAAGAGAGACAACACAAAAACACCCUCAAACCCCCUUACAACCUUCUACUGACUUGAUCGUCGGAGGGGUCGGGCCGAACCGCCGACCCGACCUGUGUGCAGGUACUCGACUGAAGCCGAUCCAACCCAGCGUUGCGGAACUUUCCAGCCAGACCCCCGCAAUCGGCCACCCCAAGAUCCCGAGAAGAGUCACGCCUGAUCCCAGCCAUUCGGACCCCUGAACCAACCGCGUUGAUCCCGAGGUCACGGCUAAAAAAGGUACUUACCAUAACAGUAUCAGUCCUCCAUAAGUGAUUUUAAGUGAACAUUAAAUAUGUCAAUAUUUCACCCAAAGGUGAAAUAUAGAUGAUAUCAAUAGUUCAUCAUAUUUUGGAAACUCAAAGCAUUAAUAUUAUAUUAUUAUAGUGGUACUUCAUUUAUUGUAUUUUUGUAAAUGUCCCUAUACUUUCUGAAAUAAAUGGCUUGAGCAUAUGCAAAUUGUAUUGAGUGAGUGAGACCUUGAUCGGAUUAAUUGAACAGAACACAAAUUAUUGAAAUCAAUUUAAAUUUUCUGAUAAGUCAUUAGUUGAUACCUAUGAUAGUAUUUGAGAAAUUCAAGAUUAUAUCCUCAAAAUAAAUGAUAAAGCUGUAAGCUCAAGACUCAUAAUAUUUUGAGUACUACUCAAGGAGUAGAUAACACUAAAAUAAGGAUGAAGCAUAAGUCCAUUAUAAUUACUAUAUAAACUCAUAAAAGAAUAUCUUCACAAUAAAGUGUUACUUUUGUACAAAUAAAGUUACGUAAAGAAGAAAUAUACUAUAAGAUUUGAUUUGAAAUGAAAAUGGUAUACAUAUAACCUUUUUUUUAUAUGGUUCAAAUAAAAUAUUACAGAUAUUAUUGAUGAAUUAAUUUGAUGCUUUAACAUAUGUUACCAAUAAUAGAUAUUUAUUAAAAUAAAAAAAUGAAGAGAGAUAAAAUCAAAAGAGAAUGAGAUAUUUAUCAAUGUAGGGAAUCAUCUUAAAGUGAAAGCGAUAUUAGUUUGUAUUUAUCGCUUAUGUCUAAAGACGAUUCAAUUUGAUAAAUCUUGAAAAUUCUUGUGUUCUUAUAAUUAUGAGAAUUUGUGUUCGUUACCUAUAAUUAUUAGAAUAUUAUUUUCCUUUUUGGAGGUUGUAAACUUAUUAUGAUUCAAUAAAAUUAACCUUUGAAUUCUGUAUGAUAGUUUAUACAUAAUUAAUAUGAAUCAUAAGUUUAUAAUGAUCCUACAAUUAAAUAUUGAAAUGAAAUGUAGUUUUAUAAACUCCUUGAGGUUAUGUUUAUCACUCUAUGCUUUCGUCUCGUUAAAAAGACAUUUUAUCACCAUAUAAAUAAUCCGUUAAGAUAUGAUUAUAUAUAUCUAAUUCAUGUAAAGUCUAUGACCGUUUACACUUUUAAAGUAUAUAUAAAUGAAGUUGAUAGACAAUUAGAUAGAAAAGUCAAGAUUAUCAUAUCUGACAAGGGUGAUAAAUUUUAUGGUAUUUAUGAUAAACCCAAUUAUAAUUCUUUUGCUAGAUUCUUGGAAAAAUAAGAUAUAUGAUUUACCAAAUAUGUUAUAGCAGAAUAUGGUUGCUGAAAGGUAUCAUCGUACCUUAUAGAUAUGAUUAUGAGCAAUGAUAAGUUAUUCUUUUGUAUUUAAAUCAUUGUGAGAAAAAGCUCCAAGGACAAUUAUUGAUAUCUUGAAUGAUAUUCCUAGUAAGUAAAUUACAUGACUUCUUUUAAGUUAUGAAAUGAUAGGAAACCUAACUUAAGAUAUUUACAUAUUUGAGAUUGUCCUAUGGAGAUAAGGAUCUUCAACUCAUAUAAAAGAAAAUUAAAUUUAAUAAUUAUUUUUGCAUAUUUUAUUAUCUAUUCAGAAAAGUUUAAAGGGGUACAUAUCUUAUUGCUCUAAUCAUAGUACGAGGACAAUUAAAUCUGGUAAUGUAAGAUUCCUAUAAAAUAGCAAAUCAAUGGAGUGAAAAUCUCAAAAUUUAAUUUUGAUAUAAAGGAGAUAUAAAUUGAUACUCAUUUAUUAUUCGAGAGAUUGUUGUUACUCAAAUCAUUAAAUGAUUUGUUAAAAGUGAACAACAAAAUAACAUUACUAAACUCCCAUAUUACAUUGAUAUCAUUAUUAAUGGUCUUGUAGAACAAUCAUAAUUGACAACUUUGAGAAUAUCUGAAAGGGGAAGGAAUCAUGUCAUUUAUGAUUAUUAUGUUGCAUAUCUACAAGAAUUAUAUUAUGAUAUAGGAAUCAGAAUGGUUCCCUUAUUUUUGUCAUAUGUCAUGAAAAGUAAUGAUUCUGAAAAGUAAUAUGAUGUAAUAAAAAAAAGAGUUAAAAUCAAUAACCAGAAUAGUGUCUGAUAAAUUUAUCGAAUUGUCUAAUAAUUGUAAAAGAGUCUAUUAUAUAAAUGUGACUCAACUCAAAGGACAAUGUCGAACGAUAUAAUGGUCAGGCUUGUGAUUAAAAGUUUUACUCAUAAAGAAUGUAUCGAUUAUAACGAGAUUUUUAAUGAACUCAUUAAGAAUUAUCAUGAUAUUAGUGACUCAUUAUGAGUUUGAGUUAUAUCAUAAUGAUAUGAAAAUAUUUUUUUUUUAAAGAUCUAGCUUUAUAUGGGUUACUAUUUACAAAGAAAAUAAAAGAAAUAUAAAGUUUGAUAUGCAAAUUCAAGAAUCCAUUUAUGACCUUAAACAAGUUUUAAGAUAAUGAUAUAUAAAGGUUUUUAAUAUCAUUAUUUUCAUAUUUAAGAUAAAUACUAUUAAUCAGUAUUUAUUUCAGUGGGAGCAAGUUUAUUAUAUUGGUCUUAUAUAAGGAUAAUAUUUUGUCUUACUAAUAGUGAUCUUGAUUUAUUAUACUAAAUCAAGAAAUUUGUCACUAAGAGUUUUAAUAUAGUUGAUAUGAAUAAGACAUCUUAUAUUAUUAACAUUGAGUAAUUCAAGGAUAGACCUCAAUGAUUAUAAAGAUUGUCUUAGAAAGGAUAUAUCAACCGAGUCUUGAAAAGAUUUAAUGUCCAGUUUUGUUCAGUAACUCAUAAAAGCAAAAUUCUAGUCAAUAAUAAAUGCUUGAAAAUGACUUGAAAAGAAUUAGAUAAAGAAGAUAUUCUUUGUAUAUGCGCAGUUGGAAGUCUAUGCUAAAGCUUGUGUUAGAAAAGAUAUCAGUUUUUUACAGUUAAAAUAUUGGGUAUAUAUUGGAGUUAUCCAGAAGUAAAAACACUAAAGGACUACAGAGAAAAUAUAUCCGGAAGGGACAGAGGAUUAUAUGCUCACAUGUAUGAAAUUAUAUUAGCUUGAAAUAAUGAUAUUUUUCAAAUGCUAAUUGUAUAAAUUACCUCGAUAAUAGGAAGUCCACCUUAGAGUUAAUAUCUAUAUCAAUUAGAGGGGUAAUUUAUUAUUAUUAAUAAUAGAAGUUGAUUUUGUGGUAUGCUUUGAGGCCACUAAUCAAAUUUUUGGACUACAAAAUUUUUAUCUCAGACUUGGUGUAGUUAGACUCAAUUACCAAGUCGUUGAAGAUAUUUUAUGACAUUGCAGUAGUUUUCUUCUCUAAGAAUGACAAGUACUAUUGCAUCUAUAUGCAUUAUGAUAUAAAGUACUUUAUGGUUAGAUAAUAUGAGUCCAAAAACAUCCAAUGUCAAUUAAUUACUUGAGUUCCAUUAUAUUGAUUGCUGAUCCAUUCACUUAGGACUUACGGUCUAAAGUAUUUUGAAAGAACAUAUUCUUAUGAUUGGGUUUGUGAGCAACCCAUAAAGGAUAUGGUGAUUCAUGUUUGAGUGGAUACUAUAAUUGACAUUCUUGAUUAUAUACUUAAAGUUAUUUGUUUCUACUAUCCUGUUCACAAUUAUGUAUGUACAUAUUAUGGUUGAAUGUGAUGACAGGAUUGUCUUGACAAGACAAAUUAUAUGGGUCAUUUUGGAUUGCAUUAAGAAAGACUAACAAUAUUAUAGUACAUAGAAGGAAGUGUGACACUAAUAGCAUACAACCGCUAUGACUCAUAUUAUUAGUUAGACUUAAUGUAGCAUUAUUAUAAUUAUUGAACUUAUUGGCCUAUUUUAAAAUUUGCGCACGUGUAUAUAGUUUUUUUCUAAAAUUUCAGAAUCCAAUUGAGUCAAAUUAUUUUUAAAUAAAUUUUAUUUAUUUAUUUUUGAUUUUUAAGUCUUUUGUAUCUUAUCAAUUAUUGGGUCAAGUGAGAGAAUAUUAGAUUAUAUGGUCCUAUUUAAUUAGGUAAGAUAUAUUAUAGAUAUGAUUGGAUUCUGAUUAUGGUUAUUGGUCAAUAGAAAAAAAAUUCAAUUAAAGUAGGAUUCCUUAUGAGAUAACCUUGAUGGGAGGAACUCUCCUAAUAACUUAUCCUAGACCCUCUGGUCUCGUCUAUAAAUAGACUGGACCUCUAGGGGUUAAGUGUGUAUUUGAUAGACAGGACCUCUAAGGGUCAUGUACAUAUCUGAGUAUAACAAUUAAGAGAUUAAAAUUUUUCUCUCAAUCUUCCUCUUUCCUCCUUGAUCGAUCAAUUUAGGUGGUUAUGUGAAACGAUAGAAAGAGAGGAGAAGGAUUUAGUUCUCUUUGGAUGGGACGCUCGUGAUUAAAUAAAGUUUAUUUUUUUAAAUAAUAAAAAAUAUGUAUCGUAAUAUAUAUAUUAGAUCUAAUAAAAAUUGAUUUCAAUAUUGACAUAAAUUUUUUUCGCAUUACAGAUGUCAUGAAUAUUGAUUUUAUGCUUACACUGCUGCCUUCGUGACGCGCUACUCGUGUGGGUCGUCUCCUCCACAGGAUGGGCGAUCCAUCCAGUAGCUUCCCCGUUUUAUCUGACGCUGACACGUUUCUUUUCAUCCACGUGGUGUUUCCUCGUCCGUCGUCAUCCUCCCGUGCUGUCCCAUCACGCGCAUUCCCCAACUGCUCACAUGUCUCAGAGGAUCAUCAUAUAAAAAGAAUACCGCGUCCUGCCCCUAACCUCGCUUGUCCUACCCAUGUUAGCCGCUGCGGCCCAUUUUCUACCUUCUUGUUGAUUGGAAACAUGUGGUGAGGGCCACAAUGCUCCCUCCAAUUAUAGAUGGGUGCCUUGCGGAGAAACGUUGGAGUGGCAGUCAAAGAAAUACUCGCUUUAAUUCCUUUCUUUUAAUUCUCUUUCCCUUCGCCUGUUCUUUCGUUUUCUUUCGGUCUCCUCUGCGUCACUCGAAUUCCUUUCCAUCAAGGGCACUCUCUUCACCUAUUUACGAUCUCGUUUCUCUCUUGCAUCUUUCGUUUUGGAUACGAUUGUGCUUUCCUUUGGAUUCUUUUGGGUUGAUUGCAUCCAGAGACCCCCCCGUUUUUCAUCCCUCUGGAUUGGGAAUUUAGGAUUCUUGGGCCGGGAAGUAGGGCUCCUCCUUGUAGUUAUUGGAGUUUGGUGGAAAUGUUGGGGAGUAGCGUGCAGUUGGGACGCGGGCAUGGGGAGGAUCGCGUCUGCUACGCCGAUAAGGCACGGUGGAGCCGCCACAGCCACCAACGGCACUACCAGCAGAGUCCAUGGAGGUCUUCAAGCACCUCCGCCGCCGGAACUUACCCCGCCCCUUCCUUUGCUUCUGGGAGCUCCGCAGAGGCUGUUGUGUCGGUCUCCGGCACCCGUGAGCAGGAGAACCGAGCAGGAACAGAGGAAGAUUGUCCGAAGACCGGGAUCGCGUCCGUUUCAU
This 39693-nucleotide long non-coding RNA is filed under the name Musa acuminata (dwarf banana). Its description in RNAcentral is "long non-coding RNA (MACU_LNC000353)". Lineage: Eukaryota; Viridiplantae; Streptophyta; Magnoliopsida; Zingiberales; Musaceae. The record is from RNAcentral.